RNAcentral lists this ribosomal RNA (497 nucleotides) under uncultured bacterium. RNAcentral's name for it is "partial 16S ribosomal RNA". It matches the Rfam family "Bacterial small subunit ribosomal RNA", at positions 28 to 507 of the family's 1533-position model. The record is from RNAcentral.
GAUGAACGCUGGCGGCGUGCCUAAUACAUGCGAGUCGAGCGAACAGAUGAGGAGCUUGCUCCUCUGACGUUAGCGGCGGACGGGUGAGUAACACGUGGAUAACCUACCUAUAAGACUGGGAUAACUUCGGGAAACCGGAGCUAAUACCGGAUAAUAUAUUGGACCGCAUGGUUCAAUAGUGAAAGACGGUUUUGCUGUCACUUAUAGAUGGAUCCGCGCCGCAUUAGCUAGUUGGUAAGGUAACGGCUUACCAAGGCAACGAUGCGUAGCCGACCUGAGAGGGUGAUCGGCCACACUGGAACUGAGACACGGUCCAGACUCCUACGGGAGGCAGCAGUAGGGAAUCUUCCGCAAUGGGCGAAAGCCUGACGGAGCAACGCCGCGUGAGUGAUGAAGGUCUUCGGAUCGUAAAACUCUGUUAUUAGGGAAGAACAAAUGUGUAAGUAACUAUGCACGUCUUGACGGUACCUAAUCAGAAAGCCACGGCUAACUACGUG